This 117-nucleotide ribosomal RNA is filed under the name Hemiramphus lutkei (Lutke's halfbeak). Its description in RNAcentral is "partial 16S rRNA". The record is from RNAcentral. Lineage: Eukaryota; Metazoa; Chordata; Actinopteri; Beloniformes; Hemiramphidae.
AGCCGAACAGCUAGCCCACCAAACUAAUAUCAUCACAAACACAUAACUACACCCUAAUCCACUAAAAUUAACCAACAAACCAUUUUCCCCUUCUAGUAUGGGAGACAGAAAAAAAAC